RNAcentral lists this ribosomal RNA (294 nucleotides) under uncultured bacterium. RNAcentral's name for it is "partial 16S ribosomal RNA". It matches the Rfam family "Bacterial small subunit ribosomal RNA", at positions 524 to 820 of the family's 1533-position model. The record is from RNAcentral.
UACGUAGGGUGCAAGCGUUAAUCGGAAUUACUGGGCGUAAAGCGUGCGCAGGCGGUUUGUAAGUUUGUCGUGAAAGCCCCGGGCUCAACCUGGGAAUUGCGAUGAAGACUGCAAGGCUUGAAUCUGGCAGAGGGGGUAGAAUUCCACGUGUAGCAGGUGAAAUGCAUAGAUAUGACCCGGAACACCGAUUGCGAAGGCAGCCCGCUAAGCAAACUAUUGACGCUGAGCACGAAGCGUGGGAGUCAAACAGGAAUUAGAGUACCCGAUAAGUCCGACGAGACCAAGUCCUCGUGC